CUAACUAUUUAAUAAUUAAUAUUAAUAUUUAUAUUGAUGUACCAACUAUUUAAUAAUUAUUAUUUUAAAAUUAAAAUUUAAUUCCAUAAAUAUAAUUUAAGCUACCUGGAACAGCAGUUGAAAAAUGAUCAUUAAUUAAUUUAUAAAAAUUAGUGCUCAAUAUAUGUUAUUGUAUAUACAUAAAGAGUGAGGCUACUAUGUUAUCGGAAGUACGGAGCCUUCCGUGCUUCCAGUUCGUUUUCGAUGUUGCGACUUUCGAAUCGUCGAUCGGCUCCGUUAAACUUGAUCUAGAGUAUUUGAAGUACCUAGAAAAUAAAUUUUAUGAUUUUACGAUAUCAUUUGCCUAGUGAUCGAANAGUAUUUGGAGUACCUAGAAAAUAAAUUUUAUUAUUUUUCGAUAUCAUUUGCCUAGUGAUCGAAUGGGCUCAAAAUCAACAAAUUUCAAUGGCCGUAGUGAGCCGUUUGUAAGUUUAACGGUGUAGAAAUAUCCAAAUCACGUGAAAUUUUGAUAGAAAAUUUUUUAUACUAUAUAAAACAAGAUCAAUAUCUUUGAUUUAAAAUUUUAAUGUCGUAUUAUUACAUUUUGUAAGAUUUUUAUUUUCAGUCGUUGAUUUUGAGCCCCUUCGUUCACUAAGCAAAUGAUAUCGUAAAAUCAUAAAAUUUAUUUUCUAAGUACUUCAAAUACUCUAGAUCAAAUUUAACAGAGCAGAUCGACGAUUCGAAAGUCGCAACAUCGAAAACGAGCUGGAAGCACGGAAGGCUCCGUGCUUCCGAUAGCAUAGUAGCCUUACUCUAUACAUAAAUACUUUGAAUAUUGUAAAAAAAUA
RNAcentral lists this long non-coding RNA (827 nucleotides) under Ananas comosus (pineapple). RNAcentral's name for it is "long non-coding RNA (ACOM_LNC021446)". The record is from RNAcentral. Lineage: Eukaryota; Viridiplantae; Streptophyta; Magnoliopsida; Poales; Bromeliaceae.